GCGAGAGCGAAGGCAGCGCGCAGCUCAGAGCAUGUCGCCUCCCGUCGCCGCGCCGCACCGCGGGAUCCGCCGUCGACCUUCCGCGCUGUUAACGUGAAGCCCGCCGCGCUCGCGUUCGAUAGCGCCUUUUCUCCCUCGCUAUGCUCGAGACGGAGGUCUGAGGAGACACAACUUGGCACAGGCUUGUCGUUUGCUGCCCGCUGCUGGAGCUGUUUGUUUGCAGGGGGGGCGAGAAAAAGUGCGAAACAAGUGUCAGCGAGCGAGCAACAGAUGUUUUUGGUGGAAAAUGCGUCCGCGUGAGGAAUGAGAGCAGCAGCGAGGCACCGGCGGCCCUUCCAGCGGUUCUGCUGCUGUGCAGUCGGGCUGGUCGCGGUCAUGUGGCUCGUCCAGGUCAUCCAGGCACCAGAGACGGAGUCUUCUGGCGUUCGCCCGGCCGUGAACGGGGGGGAGCUGCGAUGGACUCGCCGGCUGAUGCAGGAGAAGUCGGACAACCAGAGUGUGGAUCUGCCGCGAGCAGAGUUUCGGCAAUGCUGAGUGGCGCGUGCAGGCAAAGGAGAAAGGCGCCGUUCCCCGGAGGUUUCUGCGCCGCGUGCAGGUGAACUGGAAGGUCAUGCGGCGCUGUGCCAGUGGGACGGCGCGUGUUGUCGGUGUCGAGCUUUGUGUACCGACAGACCCGAGGAGACGGCACGAGAGGAGGCCGCCGAAAGUGAAAGUCAGAUUAGAUUUUGUAAAGUAGCCUGUCGACGGCGAGGCGCCGAGUUCCCUUCAGUACCUGCCGGAGUCUGGUUGCGCACUGAAAAGGCCGCACGUCUUCAAAGUGCUCCUUAUUAUCGCAGAGACGUGCAGCCAUUGAAAGCCUUAAUGAGAAAUGAAUUGACCCGUGUCUUUGUGUUUCCCGGGCUUAUGAGCUCGCUGGCUGACACGAGCCGCACUUGUCAAAGCUGAAAUGGGUAUUAUUGAAGACAGGCAGGAGAAUAGCGAAAAUAAAGUAAAACAAUGAAACAUCAUCUGCUUUACUGACAGAGUACAAUUGGUUACCUUCACAUCAUGUCACUCUAUGAUGCAGCUAAUAUUAGGCUGUUGGUCACAAUGUUGCAUUGUGGGUCAGAGAAAUUUAUGCAAAUCAAGUUUUUCUAAUAAUUUACUUUACAAAUGACCUGUUUAGAAUACCACCUUAAAUAUGCUCACCUUACAGAGGGUGUGCAACCUAAAAGGAAACCUGCACACAAUGAAUGAUUUGAUCCUUUUUACAAACGUGAUGUGAAACAGGCUCGACGUGUCCAAGGCGACUUUGUGAAGCAUUGGUUCUAGACAUUCAGGAACUUUACAGACAUAUUAUGUGUUUCACAGCAGUUGGGGAAAGAUUAUGAUGCCAGGGCGUUCUCAUAUCGUUUGGCAAAAUGUCGGCAUGAUUUAUAUCUGGCACUGCCUGUUCUUCCAAAUGACUUAAAGAUAGUUUGACGAAAUACUACAUAACAAUUAAAAAUUAACCUUUUAUCACCAAACCUCAAAUCUUUAUGCCAUUUUUUAUUUUCUUUAAUCUAAAAGGUUUAUGAUGAACAGUCCUAGCUCCUGAUAAUUUUAUCUCAAAGAAUCGUUCCAGUGGAAGUUAUUUGCGUUCACAGAUGUUCCUGGACAUCUCAAACGUCCAGGAACAUCUGUGAAUAUUGGUCUGGCACUCGUGGUAAAUUCACACAUUAAAAGCACCUCACUAUCAUUGCGUGUCCUCUUUCAUGACAUUACAUCAGAAGGGAUUUCAUUUUUUCCACCCAUGAGAGAGAAAAUGAGACUCCCUGUAUUCCGCUACCCAAUGACACACAUAACCUUUUAUCGAGUUCCCGCGUGCAAACAACACACUAUCUCUUACGAGCAAAUGCUUACAAGACACAAGCGUUGUGUGUACUGUGUGCGUGAAGUGGUUACUUCUCUGCACUAACGCAGUGGAGACGGCAUGUAAACAAAGGGCAGGACAUAAGACACUCCAGCUCCAUGCUCAGGUGGCCGCCCUGUUCCUCAGCAGGCCGUCUGAGAGUUGUUGCAUAAUCUGUGGUGUGAUUAAAAAGGCCGCCCUGGACCUCGGGGAUAUUAUCUGGGGGAUUUCACAGUAACAUCCAGG
Molecule: long non-coding RNA, 2116 nt
Organism: Gasterosteus aculeatus aculeatus (three-spined stickleback)
Lineage: Eukaryota; Metazoa; Chordata; Actinopteri; Perciformes; Gasterosteidae
Source: Ensembl